AUUUUCCUGUUUAACUAGUACUUUACACUGAGCCACAUGAGCAAUUCCCUGGCAAGGGAAGGGAAAAGUUCCUCGUGGGCAGCUUGAAGUGCAGCACUUGGGCAGUGAGGCUGAUGUGACAUUUAGAAAUUACAUUUUAUGGUACUUGGUCGAUUCAGAAGCUUACCAGGCUGUGGAGGAAGUGACUAACUCCUGAGCAGGCAGCCAUGGACCUGGUGAGAGAUUUCAGGAAAGAAGGGAACAGAAACCAAACCAACACCCUGCCACCAAAACCCCAUGCCCAAGACUUUAAUCUGACAAUUCCUCCCAAGCAAGGGUGAUUCAGAUACCAGCUCCUUUUUAGCUAACCACCAAACUUCAGUGGUUUGGAUAAAAGGGAACCGUGGUCUGACUCAUCCUGAGUUACUAUUUGGUUGGCAAAGCCAUGCAUGCAGGAUUUUCUGAAGUCAAAAAAUCCCUGCUUGUCUGCCAGAAUUACCACAACUUGUCCUGCUUUCAGAAAAAGACCGUCUGCCAUGUGAUAUUUUGACUGAUAAAUUUAAUGUGGUAGUGAUUAAACUGUGCAUUGUCAGUUUUCUUUGUGUUUAGUUGUUGUUUUUUUUUUUUUUUUACUGAGAGAUCUGCCUGUGAAGAGGCAGCAGCUAUUUUUUUCCAUAAUUGCAUCUGUUUCAGAGAGCAGACAGAUGUUGGACUGAAAUUCAUUAUGGUAUUCAUAAACCCCAUUGGGAUCUGAUGACCUAGUAACAUAUAGCUACUGUUCCUUGCAAAGUGCUUCAAAGUGUUCUUACUUUGAAUGAAGAAAUAAAUUUGCAGAAG
This 816-nucleotide long non-coding RNA is filed under the name Parus major (Great Tit). RNAcentral's name for it is "lncRNA (ENSPMJG00000011257.1)". The record is from RNAcentral. Lineage: Eukaryota; Metazoa; Chordata; Aves; Passeriformes; Paridae.